This is an RNA transcript of Dryobates pubescens (Downy woodpecker), 530 nucleotides long. RefSeq lists it as uncharacterized. The record is from RefSeq and is a predicted model, not a curated record. The transcript is spliced from 3 exons. Lineage: Eukaryota; Metazoa; Chordata; Aves; Piciformes; Picidae.
GGUGGCGAGGCCCCGUGCCGUGGCAGCUGCCGACCCGGCCCCCUCCCCGAUAGCGCUCCUUUCUUUGUACAUUCUCCUGUUGCUCCUUUGGGGCCCCACGCAUCUCUUCCCCGCUUCCUCUUUCACCGUACUGACAGGCGGCCUGAGGCUCCGACUGCCCCGAGGCCCUGGGACGGGGGCUGGGGCGUUCUUCAGCGUGCCUGCCCGCAGCGAAGCCCUCACUGGCCCCUUAGCUCCGCUCCCAAUCCCAGCAGCUGCCAGCGCCCGGCUGCCGGCCAGGACUCCGGCCAAGAGCGGAAAAGAAAUCUGGGAUUACUGGCUCAGUGAAGUGGCUGUAGCUGUGGAGACAGAAGCAGCAAGGUUUGAACAGAGCUAGUAGCCAGAAAUAUUAUGAAGCGAUCCAUCAGCAUACUCUGAAGGAGUUUGCAUGACUUCUGACUGUCCAAAAUGAAAAGAAGAAAGAGGAAAUUACUGUGAGAAUGUGACCUGCAACUUCCUGUCUGUGAGUAAGAAAGGCUACAUACAUAUUC